Molecule: small nucleolar RNA, 87 nt
Organism: Camellia sinensis
Lineage: Eukaryota; Viridiplantae; Streptophyta; Magnoliopsida; Ericales; Theaceae
Product: small nucleolar RNA R12
Source: RefSeq, a predicted model, not a curated record
UGUAGGAUGAUGAAAUAAAUCAGACGGAUUCCCAAUGAUUUCUCUUAUUUUAAAAAGAGAUGAUAUCACAAUCUGCUGCUGACUCUU